CCUCAUUUAAUCAAAAAAAGUUUGAUAUAUGAUAACUAAAUAUUCAUUUUACUAGUGAUUUUAUAAUAACCUCACAAAUUAUUAUAGUAAUAAAUAAUACUAUGUUAUAUUUUUGCCAUGACUAAAAAAAUAUGUAGAAUAUAGAUCCAUAUAUAUAUAUGAUGCAUUAUUGAAAUAUGAUAUGCAUAUCUCUAAUCUUCCAUACUUUUUCUUUUUAUGAUCGUUAUGAUUAUGC
Molecule: long non-coding RNA, 235 nt
Filed under: Elaeis guineensis (African oil palm)
Lineage: Eukaryota; Viridiplantae; Streptophyta; Magnoliopsida; Arecales; Arecaceae
Description: long non-coding RNA (EGUI_LNC003609)
Source: RNAcentral